GAUGAAGAACGUAGCGAAAUGCGAUAAGUAAUGUGAAUUGCAGAAUUCAGUGAAUCAUCGAAUCUUUGAACGCACCUUGCACCCUUUGGCUAUUCCGAAGGGUAUGCCUGUUCGAGCGUCAUUUCAACCCUCAAGCUCUGCUUGGUGUUGGGCCCUGCCCGCUGCGGCCGGCCCUAAAGACAGUGGCGGUGCCGCCUGGCCCUGAGCGUAGUACAUCUCUCGCUCCAGUGCCCGGUGGUAGCCUGCCAGAACCCCAACUCUCGUGGUUGACCUCGGAUCAGGUAGGGAUACCCGCUGAACUUAAGCAUAUCAAUAAGCGGAGGA
RNAcentral lists this unclassified non-coding RNA (324 nucleotides) under soil metagenome. RNAcentral describes it as "partial contains 5.8S ribosomal RNA, internal transcribed spacer 2, and large subunit ribosomal RNA". The stretch from base 1 to 121 matches the Rfam family "5.8S ribosomal RNA", at positions 35 to 154 of the family's 154-position model. The record is from RNAcentral.